Molecule: ribosomal RNA, 1788 nt
Filed under: human gut metagenome
Description: bacterial LSU rRNA
Rfam family: Bacterial large subunit ribosomal RNA
Source: RNAcentral
CUAAGUGGAAAAGGAUGUGGGGUUUCAUAAACAACCAGGAUGUUGGCUCAGAAGCAGCCACCAUUUAAAGAGUGCGUAAUAGCUCACUGGUCGAGAGACCCUGCGCCGAAGAUUCCCGGGGCUAAAGUACGAAACCGAAGCUGUGGCUGUAUACGUAAAGUAUACGGGGUAGGGGAGCGUUCCCAUAGGGUAGAAGUCGAACUGGAAGGUUCGGUGGACUUGUGGGAAGUGAGAAUGUUGGUAUGAGUAGCGAAAAGAAAGGUGAGAAUCCUUUCCACCGAAAGCAUAAGGAUUCCUGAGCAACGAUCGUCGUCUCAGGGUAAGUCGGGACCUAAUCCGAGGCAGAGAGCGUAGGAGAUGGACAACUGGUUGAUAUUCCAGUACCGGUAGUAAUUGUUUGAGCAAUGGAGUGACACAGAAGGGCAGGCAAGCAUGCGAAUGGAAGAGCAUGUGUAAGCGUGUAGGGUGGUGCAUAGGCAAAUCCGUGCACUGAAAGCCUGAGGCGUGAUGCGGAGUGAGCAGAGAUGCGAGCGAAGUUGUUGACCCCACACUGUCGAGAAAAGCUUCUAGUGAGAGAGCUACCGCCCGUACCGUAAACCGACACAGGUAUGCGGGGAGAGAAUCCUAAGGUGCGCGGGAGAACCCUCGUUAAGGAACUCGGCAAAAUGUACCCGUAACUUCGGGAUAAGGGUAGCCACUGUUGUGAAGUCCCAUGCGGAUGGAGCAUAGAGUGGUCGCAGAGAAGAGGCCCAAGCGACUGUUUACCAUAAACACAGGUGCCUGCUAAAGCGAAAGCUGACGUAUAGGUGCUGACACCUGCCCAGUGCCGGAAGGUUAAGGAAGGAUGUUCGGAUUAGUCCAAAGCAUUCGACUGAAGCCCCGGUGAACGGCGGCCGUAACUAUAACGGUCCUAAGGUAGCGAAAUUCCUUGUCGGGUAAGUUCCGACCCGCACGAAAGGUGUAACGAUUUGGGCACUGUCUCAACGAGGGACCCGGUGAAAUUGAAAUACCUGUGAAGAUGCAGGUUACCCGCGACUGGACAGAAAGACCCCAUGGAGCUUUACUGUAACCUGACAUUGGGUUUUGAUACAUUACGUACAGGAUAGGUGGGAGGCAUGGAAAGCUGGACGCUAGUCUGGCUGGAGCCGACGUUGGGAUACCACCCUUGAUGUAUUGAAAUUCUAACCGCGAGAGUAACGAAAUCCGGGACAGUGUCAGGCGGGCAGUUUGACUGGGGCGGUCGCCUCCGAAAGAGUAACGGAGGCGCCCAAAGGUUCCCUCAGCGCGGCCGGAAAUCGCGCGAAGAGUGUAAAGGCAGAAGGGAGCUUGACUGCGAGACGGACAGGUCGAGCAGGGACGAAAGUCGGGCUUAGUGAUCCGGUGGUGCCGAGUGGAAGGGCCAUCGCUCAACGGAUAAAAGCUACCCUGGGGAUAACAGGCUAAUCUCUCCCAAGAGUCCAUAUCGACGGGGAGGUUUGGCACCUCGAUGUCGGCUCAUCACAUCCUGGGGCUGAAGUCGGUCCCAAGGGUUGGGCUGUUCGCCCAUUAAAGUGGUACGUGAGCUGGGUUCAGAACGUCGUGAGACAGUUCGGUCCCUAUCCAUCGCGGGCGCAAGAGAUUUGAAGGGGGCUGCUCCUAGUACGAGAGGACCGGAGUGGACGAACCGCUGGUGUACCAAUUAUCCCGCCAGGGGUACAGUUGGGUAGCUACGUUCGGAAAGGAUAAACGCUGAAAGCAUCUAAGCGUGAAACCAGCCUUAAGAUGAGAUCUCUCAUAGAGCAAUCUAGU